Molecule: unclassified non-coding RNA, 1710 nt
Filed under: Mizuhopecten yessoensis (Yesso scallop)
Lineage: Eukaryota; Metazoa; Mollusca; Bivalvia; Pectinida; Pectinidae
Description: transmembrane protein 127-like, transcript variant X2
Source: RNAcentral
UUUAACUUCCUGUUGUCAAAUUCUGACCACCGACAAAUAGCUGUACUGGAAAGAAACAAUACAUGACCUUUGUCGUGUAGAAAAUGCCGAGAUCAAGCAGAAGUCGAGAGUCUGGGUCUCGACGGAGCAGAUCGUCGAGCGGUCGUUCUCGGGGUCGCCACAGAGAGCACCACCAUCAUAGACAUGGACAUCAUUCCAUCAACUCUCAUCUCCGCCAGCUCUACAGGUUCCGUCAGAAACAAAAAGAGAAAAACUUCAAAGCUGCCUCCUGCAGCAUGAUUGCUAUUGUUGUGUUGUGCACUGCUUUGUCAGAGCCCAGGUGGGUGUCGCUGAAAGGUGGAGGCUGUACCAUAGGAGACGUCCAGUCGACCGUUACCACACAUUUGGAUCAUCUAGGCGCUUACCAGUUUUUCUAUCCAGGGAAAUUUUAUGCAGCAGAUGAAAACGAACAGUCACUGUAUCAGUAUGGACCGUCUCCCACUGAUUACAUGCACAACUGUGUGACCUACCGGGCUGUCGUUCUGAUGAAGGUUAUCAUCACCUUCACCUUCAUUGCCAUGGCUUGUUCCCUCGGAGGCUUCCUCUUAGAUUUGAUUGGACCCUCCCGGAGAGCUCUCAAAAUUCUAAGGAGAAAUGCUAUAUUGAAUAUAAUUGCUGUGAUAAUGUGUGUGAUCAUAAACAUGUUCUGUUACUGGUUGACGGCGGAGGUGCAGGCGCUUCAGAAGCACACUAAGGUACACAUUGGCAGUAAAGUGAACGUAAACUUUGACAUCAGCUUUUUCCUGGUUGCGGCAGCUGGAGCUGUAGGUGUUUUGGCCACAGGCUUGAACUGUCUUCGUCGGUAUCCAGCCUACGAUGACAGCCCGUCUGAGGCCUUGCUGGAUGAUUUUGAUGGAAUGGAGGGACUCUUAGCUCCAGAACCAGAUGCCUCCCCAUUGGCAAACAUUCCUCCACCACCGGCCUAUACCCCUUGAUACACCACCGGCCUAUACCCCUUGAUACAGGUGGCUUUGUGGAUCAGGACUGUGCUGCUGUGCCUAGGUUUUCUACACACUGUUAUAGCUAUAGCUGUAAUACAUCGCCCCUGUUGAGACCGUUACCACACAUACCCGAUAUACACUUACAGUAGAAUAUCUUUAAUCUGGGAAGCUUUAUCAUUGUAUCGCGCCGACACACUGUUGUGGAUUAAGUUCAGAAGUAAUAAUUUUUUACAUCACUGUCUUUUGCCUGUAAUAAGCCGGGGGCUAGCAUUUUUACAGUUCCGUAUUUAUACUGUAGUAAGCCUAGGGUGCCAGCAUAUAACCGCUGACUCAGAGGAGGAAGGUGGACUUAUUUCAGAACAACAGAAUAUCUUGGCAUCUCUACUGAAAUACAUUAGAUAUGGGUAAUAAGUUUAUUACCAGGCAUGGGCUUAUUGUCGGAUAAAUACAGUAGUAUAACGGAAGUUGGACGAUUUUUCUUGAAUUUAAACCUGGCUGUUUGCAGAAAAAAACUGAAUAUCAGAAACGACUUGUAUACUGAUCAUGGACAUUACUGGUCCAAUAAAGGUAUGUAGGAAUUUAUUCCGGAUAUGUGUCCAGUAGACAAACAAGGGUUUUACUGUUAAUUUUGUUUGUAAGCUUUGCCAAUAAGUUGCAUAAAUGAAUCAUAUGCUGUUACAGUGUAUCACCGUUAUGUAUUCCGUCUUUGCGUAUUGCCGAGUUAUCUUCU